Molecule: ribosomal RNA, 404 nt
Filed under: uncultured prokaryote
Description: bacterial SSU rRNA
Rfam family: Bacterial small subunit ribosomal RNA
Source: RNAcentral
UGGGGAAUAUUGGGCAAUGGGGGCAACCCUGACCCAGCGACGCCGCGUGAGGGAAGACGGCCUUCGGGUUGUAAACCUCUUUUGUACGGGAAGAAGGAAGUGACGGUACUGUACGAAUAAGUCCCGGCUAACUACGUGCCAGCAGCCGCGGUAAUACGUAGGGGACGAGCGUUGUCCGGAAUUACUGGGCGUAAAGGGCGCGCAGGCUGUGCUGCAAGUCAGCUGUGAAAUGUCUGGGCUUAACCCGGGCAUGCGGUUGAGACUGCAGUGCUGGAGUGCUGUAGAGGCAAGUGGAAUUCCCAGUGUAGCGGUGAAAUGCGUAGAUAUUGGGAAGAACACCGGUGGCGAAGGCGACUUGCUGGGCAGCAACUGACGCUCAUGCACGAAAGCGUGGGGAGCAAACA